RNAcentral lists this unclassified non-coding RNA (418 nucleotides) under Hevea brasiliensis (rubber tree). The record is from RNAcentral. Lineage: Eukaryota; Viridiplantae; Streptophyta; Magnoliopsida; Malpighiales; Euphorbiaceae.
GACAUGGUGUGGGGCUAAAUACUAAUGUGCUUAUUAGACUGGCACAUGCAUGCCAAGCAAAAACACAUCAACAUCACACCUUGUAGUUAUCGAACAUGAAAGACCACUUAGCACAUUCGGUUCUAUGCAUGCCUAUUGAUUAUAUGGUAAGAAGCUAUAGUGUGAAAGAUCUAGAAGUAAGCAAGUAGUCUUCGAAGGACAGUGUGUGGUCGCAAAUUUCUCACAAACAUAAUUAAUGGAGCAUUAAUAACAAAUCCUUCCACCUCCUUUUCUGUUGGGAAAGCUUUUAAUUCCACAGACUUUUUCAUCACUUAUAAGUGCUUGUCUCUUCACAGAUUGUUGCAACUACUUAUUGUUGCUAUUAAUUUUCUCUCUGUCUGUCCCAUGUAAGAGUCUGUUUUGUAGAAAGGAAAGUUGG